UCUCCUCACUAUCAGUUCCACUUCCUAAACAUGAGAACCAUUGUCUUGCCAAUUGAUACUCGUUAGUUUAGUUUAAGAAGAAAACAGUCUCAUGAAAUAAAUUCAUCUGUUGCAGCCCAUUGAAAUAAACGUUCUGUUGGUGCAACCAAAGAAAGUUAUCCCCAAAGCCUAAUGUUUUGUUGAUUGCACAAGCAGCAGGAGAGUAUGAUGGUGGUGGAGGCUGGUAUAUCCUUGGCCGCCAUAACGAGCUUCAGCUGCUGCUGGAUGAUAAGAUCGAGCAGGCCAUCCGUUCCAGGAAUAGGAGCCCCAGCCAUGUAAGCCUUUGAUGAUUCUGCCUUUCUCGUCCUUACCCAUCUCCCCUUCUACUUGAAUAACUGUUCAGAUAUUAAACAAAAAAGAGAGAAACAUGAAUCGCAAGAAAGCAAAACAGGAAGAGGAAUCAAGGAGCAGUAGUGACACUCACCGGAGCUAGAAAAUUUGGGAGUUGCCAAGGAACGUGUAGUCCCUCACUUAUUAGUACCAAGAGGGAACCAUCAGCCAUGGGUUCUUUGGAUAAUACUUGAAGAUUCUAAUUUUGGCAUGCAAAUUGUACAUUAUUCCAACAACUCAUUUGCCUUUGGCUUCCUAAUCACGCAAGAAUAAGCAUAACUAGCAUUGAUAUAUGAACUAAAAAGAUAACAUUUUAUAAGCAUUGUAUCUUUCGAUACAAGAGAUGCACUAGAAGAAGCCGUUUCAUUUUCAGACCAAAAUUUGGCGUUUGGUUCAGUGAAAAGAAUCAAGAACUAUGGAAGUGGAGUUGCAAAAGAUCUACUUUUUGCGUUGGUGAAAUUUCCUUCCGGAAUAAUUAAAGUAGAUUAAAGACUAAUCAGCAUCAGUUCCAAUUGCACUAUGAAAUAAACUACUAGAAGAUUAAUGCUGAUAACGGCAUACAAUUUCUCACUGCUUUUCCAUGUACAAGUGGAGAAAAAUACAGACACGGUUUUAUUUUCUUUACAAAUAAUUGGUUUCACCUAAUUUACAUGUAUUACCAUAACUCAAACUUGCAACAAUUUCAAAGAAAGAAACAACUUUCACCAAUGAAACACCAUUAACAAAAGCUGCUCUAAUGAGCCAGCAGAGGAAAACGAAUAAGACAAACGGAAGGUAUCC
Molecule: long non-coding RNA, 1149 nt
Organism: Zingiber officinale
Lineage: Eukaryota; Viridiplantae; Streptophyta; Magnoliopsida; Zingiberales; Zingiberaceae
Exons: 2
Source: RefSeq, a predicted model, not a curated record